This 667-nucleotide ribosomal RNA is filed under the name uncultured marine eukaryote. RNAcentral's name for it is "bacterial SSU rRNA". It matches the Rfam family "Eukaryotic small subunit ribosomal RNA", at positions 634 to 1168 of the family's 1831-position model. The record is from RNAcentral.
UUGAAUGCGGAGUAAAGGGAUACUUGUUCGCAAGACCUCCCUGCUCUGUUUAAGACGGGAUUGGAUGCCAUGCGGAAGACACUAUUAAUUUAGUGUUGGAAGCAGUCUACCGAAGAGGUGGGCAUUACGCAUGCAACGCAUGCACUUGGCCGCCCGUCGUUAUUACUGUGAAUAAAACAGCGUGUUCAAGGCAGCCUUCGGCUGAAUGACAAAGCAUGGAAUAACAGGGGAUCGACCGGUGGGUUAAUCUUUUGUUGGUUUUUAAAACCCAUUUGGAUAAUUUGUGGGCAAAGUGAUUCAUGCAUUCCACUGGCUUGCCUUUGGUUUGCACUGGACCUUUGCCGAACACGGGAUUAAUGGGGGUUGUCGGGGGAAAACGUAUCGGAGCGUGAGAGGUGAAAUUCUUAGACCGCUCUGGGACGAACUUAUGCGAAGGCAUUUUCCAAGUAUACCUUCAUCAAUCAAGAACUAAAGUGUGGAGAUCGAAGAUGAUUAGAUACCAUUGUAGUCCACUACUGCAAACGAUGACGCCCAUGGAUUGGAUAGCUUUUUAUUUCAUGGGAUCUCUUCGGCACUGCUCCCCCUUCAACGCGAAAGCUGAGGCUAUGGUCUCAUGGGGGAGUACGUUCGCAAGGCUGAAACUUAAAGAAAUUGACGGAAUGGCACC